UACGUAGGGGGCAAGCGUUAUCCGGAAUUACUGGGUGUAAAGGGAGCGUAGGCGGUAGAGUAAGUUAGAUGUGAAAGCCCAAGGCUCAACCUUGGGACUGCAUUUAAAACUGCUUUACUAGAGUACAGGAGAGGAAAGUGGAAUUCCUAGUGUAGCGGUGAAAUGCGUAGAUAUUAGGAGGAACACCAGUGGCGAAGGCGACUUUCUGGACUGUAACUGACGCUGAGGCUCGAAAGCGUGGGGAGCGAACAGGAUUAGAUACCCCCGUAGUCC
Molecule: ribosomal RNA, 273 nt
Filed under: uncultured bacterium
Lineage: Bacteria
Description: partial 16S ribosomal RNA
Rfam family: Bacterial small subunit ribosomal RNA
Source: RNAcentral